This 733-nucleotide ribosomal RNA is filed under the name uncultured Actinomycetes bacterium. RNAcentral's name for it is "bacterial SSU rRNA". It matches the Rfam family "Bacterial small subunit ribosomal RNA", at positions 718 to 1449 of the family's 1533-position model. Lineage: Bacteria; Bacillati; Actinomycetota; Actinomycetes. The record is from RNAcentral.
AAGGCACUUCUCUGGGCCGUAACUGACGCUGAGAGCGAAAGCGUGGGGAGCGAACAGGAUUAGAUACCCUGGUAGUCCACGCCGUAAACGUUGGGCGCUAGAUGUGGGUCACAUUCCACGUGAUCCGUGUCGCAGCUAACGCAUUAAGCGCCCCGCCUGGGGAGUACGGCCGCAAGGCUAAAACCCAAAGGAAUUGACGGGGGCCCGCACAAGCGGCGGAGCAUGCGGAUUAAUUCGAUGCAACGCGAAGAACCUUACCAAGACUUGACAUAUUCAGGAGAACUGCAGAAAUGUAGUCCCCCGCAAGGGUCUGUUUACAGGUGGUGCAUGGUUGUCGUCAGCUCGUGUCGUGAGAUGUUGGGUUAAGUCCCGCAACGAGCGCAACCCUCGUCCUAUGUUGCCAGCACGUUAUGGUGGGAACUCAUGGGAGACUGCCGGGGUCAACUCGGAGGAAGGUGGGGAUGACGUCAAAUCAUCAUGCCCCUUAUGUCUUGGGCUUCACGCAUGCUACAAUGGCCGGUACAAAGGGCUGCAAUACCGCAAGGUGGAGCGAAUCCCAAAAAGCCGGUCUCAGUUCGGAUUGAGGUCUGCAACUCGACCUCAUGAAGUCGGAGUCGCUAGUAAUCGCAGAUCAGCAACGCUGCGGUGAAUACGUUCCCGGGCCUUGUACACACCGCCCGUCAAGUCACGAAAGUCGGUAACACCCGAAGCCGGUGGCCUAACCGUAAGGAAG